This 682-nucleotide ribosomal RNA is filed under the name Russula metachromatica. RNAcentral's name for it is "eukaryotic LSU rRNA". The stretch from base 250 to 403 matches the Rfam family "5.8S ribosomal RNA". Lineage: Eukaryota; Fungi; Basidiomycota; Agaricomycetes; Russulales; Russulaceae. The record is from RNAcentral.
AAAAGUCGUAACAAGGUUUCCGUAGGUGAACCUGCGGAAGGAUCAUUAUCGUAUAACCGAGGCACCGGGUCGUCGUAGACCUUCAAGUCGUGCACGUCCUAGUGUCUGCAUCCCAUCCCUCACCCCUUGUGCACCACCGCGUGGGCCCCCCUUUUGGCUUCUGUCAGAAGGGGUGCUCGCGUCUUNUNUAACACAAACGCAAUGCAGUGUAGAAUGUAUUCUUUUAUGCGAUAAUAACGCAGUCAAUACAACUUUCAACAACGGAUCUCUUGGCUCUCGCAUCGAUGAAGAACGCAGCGAAAUGCGAUACGUAAUGUGAAUUGCAGAAUUCAGUGAAUCAUCGAAUCUUUGAACGCACCUUGCGCCCCUUGGCAUUCCGAGGGGCACACCCGUUUGAGUGUCGUGAACAUCAUCAACCUUUUUGGUUUCUUGACCAAGAAAGGCUUGGAAUUUGGAGGUGCUUUUGCUGGCUUUAAUCAAAGCCGGCUCCUCCUAAAUGCAUUAGUGGGGUCCAACUUUUGCUGAUCCUGGACGUGAUAAGAUGCUUCUACGUCCUUUGGGGUUUUCAAACCAUACCUGCUUCUAACUGUCUCAUCAGAGACAACACACCACGCGUGAAACCCCUUGACCUCAAAUCGGGUGAGACUACCCGCUGAACUUAAGCAUAUCAAUAAGCGGAGGA